UAAACAUAAAUGGUUUCACCUGUGAUAAAUAACAGUUUUUUUCUUGAGAUGCUUCAAUUCAUGGCACCUGGAGGACACCAAAGCUCCCCAUAAAAGUGUACUGUGUGCUUGUGGAUGCUUUUGGGGCCUGAGCUCUUGCUUUGCACCUCCUUGUUUUGUAGUUCCUGCCUUGGAGCAGACCCAAGGCAAGCAAUUAUUGUUUCUGCUGCUGUGCCUUUCUCCUGGUGGCUGGAGAAGCAAGGCAAGGCGUAAUCUCAUCUUUUCUCUGCACGGAUCUACAAGCCCGUGGGGAGUCCUCUGAAACAGAAAAGCAAAGAUGGAAGCAAAUCCCUAAUGUACAUGUAAGGAAGAUGGGCCUUUCUGCCACCAUCUUACAACACAUCUGUGAGUACCUGCAGGGGAGAAGGAAGAAUAUAGGCAUGCCCAUUCAAUCGAGGGAAAGGUGUAGCUGUAAAUGCAAGGCCUAUGUGUAACUGAACCCUGCUGUGUGGUGUUUGGCAUAUAGAAGUUAAAAUGUGACUGCUAGAAUUGUAG
RNAcentral lists this long non-coding RNA (534 nucleotides) under Gallus gallus (chicken). RNAcentral describes it as "lncRNA (ENSGALG00010025698.1)". Lineage: Eukaryota; Metazoa; Chordata; Aves; Galliformes; Phasianidae. The record is from RNAcentral.